GCGGCGGCUCGCUGGGCCUCUCUACGUCGACUCAGCCUGAAGGCGGGUGUCUCAGAUUGCCAGCACCAUGUGACGGGAGCCCCAGGGCAUGCUGCGUGCUCGCCAGGAGGAGCUGGGCAAGAUGGCCCAGUCGCUGGAGCAGCUGCUUGCGUGGCACCGCCGCUCUCACCCUGACGGAGUACAGCAACACAGUGGGGCGGCACCAGCAGGACACCCUGGACAACGCAGCCAAGACUGUUGCCCCGCUCGCCCGGCUCGUUGAGAGGCUUGCCCACCCCACCGGGCGUUGUUGUGAAGAUACCGCUGGGAGGAAGAAUAUCUCACAAUACUGG
This is a long non-coding RNA of Lethenteron reissneri (Far Eastern brook lamprey), 332 nucleotides long. RefSeq lists it as uncharacterized. The record is from RefSeq and is a predicted model, not a curated record. Lineage: Eukaryota; Metazoa; Chordata; Hyperoartia; Petromyzontiformes; Petromyzontidae.